UACGUAGGGGGCAAGCGUUAUCCGGAUUUACUGGGUGUAAAGGGAGCGUAGACGGCUGUGCAAGUCUGAAGUGAAAGCCCAGGGCUCAACCCUGGGACUGCUUUGGAAACUGUGGAGCUAGAGUGCUGGAGAGGUAAGUGGAAUUCCUAGUGUAGCGGUGAAAUGCGUAGAUAUAAGGAAGAACACCAGUGGCGAAGGCGGAUAACUGGACGGCAACUGACGGUGAGGCGCGAAAGCGUGGGGAGCAAACAGG
This 253-nucleotide ribosomal RNA is filed under the name uncultured Eubacteriales bacterium. RNAcentral describes it as "uncultured Clostridiales bacterium partial 16S ribosomal RNA". It matches the Rfam family "Bacterial small subunit ribosomal RNA", at positions 524 to 776 of the family's 1533-position model. The record is from RNAcentral. Lineage: Bacteria; Bacillati; Bacillota; Clostridia; Eubacteriales.